GUGGGGAAUCUUGCGCAAUGGGCGAAAGCCUGACGCAGCCAUGCCGCGUGAAUGAUGAAGGUCUUAGGAUUGUAAAAUUCUUUCACCGGGGACGAUAAUGACGGUACCCGGAGAAGAAGCUCCGGCUAACUUCGUGCCAGCAGCCGCGGUAAUACGAAGGGGGCUAGCGUUGCUCGGAAUUACUGGGCGUAAAGGGCGCGUAGGCGGACAGUUUAGUCAGAGGUGAAAGCCCAGGGCUCAACCUUGGAAUUGCCUUUGAUACUGGCUGUCUUGAGUACGGGAGAGGUGAGUGGAACUCCGAGUGUAGAGGUGAAAUUCGUAGAUAUUCGGAAGAACACCAGUGGCGAAGGCGACUCACUGGCCCAAUACUGACGCUGAGGCGCGAAAGCGUGGGGAGCAAACAGGAUUAGAAACCCGUGUAGUCC
Molecule: ribosomal RNA, 425 nt
Filed under: uncultured bacterium
Lineage: Bacteria
Description: partial 16S ribosomal RNA
Rfam family: Bacterial small subunit ribosomal RNA
Source: RNAcentral